This 253-nucleotide long non-coding RNA is filed under the name Ananas comosus (pineapple). RNAcentral's name for it is "long non-coding RNA (ACOM_LNC001796)". The record is from RNAcentral. Lineage: Eukaryota; Viridiplantae; Streptophyta; Magnoliopsida; Poales; Bromeliaceae.
AUAAUAUAUAAAUUUGUCAAAUAAAUCAUGAAAAUAUAUCAAAUAAGAGAUAAUAGGGCUAAAAUUCUUAAUCUAAUUAUAGUAUUUUGGGUGAUGAAUAGGUUCAAAAGGUUAAGAAAGUUUAAGAGUACUAGGAUGGAAGCUAGAUAGUUGGUAUUUUUUUAUUAUGGCCUAAAGCUAGAUGGUUGGUAAAAUAUCUAAAUGGAAUACCAUAAUUGGCUUUUAAGUUACUUUUGUUUAAAAUAAAAUGAAU